AUUGAACGCUGGCGGAAUGCUUUACACAUGCAAGUCGAGCGGCAGCGCGGCCUUCGGGCUGGCGGCGAGCGGCGAACGGGUGAGUAAUGCAUCGGAACAUGCCCAGUCGUGGGGGAUAACACUUCGAAAGAAGUGCUAAUACCGCAUACGUCCUGAGGGGGAAAGCGGGGGAUCGCAAGGCCUCGCGCGAUUGGAGUGGCCGAUGUCAGAUUAGCUAGUUGGUGGGGUAAAGGCCUACCAAGGCGACGAUCUGUAGCUGGUCUGAGAGGAUGAUCAGCCACACUGGGACUGAGACACGGCCCAGACUCCUACGGGAGGCAGCAGUGGGGAAUUUUGGACAAUGGGGGCAACCCUGAUCCAGCCAUUCCGCGUGAGUGAAGAAGGCCUUCGGGUUGUAAAGCUCUUUCGGCAGGAACGAAACGGUGGGCUCUAACAUAGUCCGCUAAUGACGGUACCUGAAGAAGAAGCACCGGCUAACUACGUG
Molecule: ribosomal RNA, 484 nt
Filed under: uncultured bacterium
Lineage: Bacteria
Description: partial 16S ribosomal RNA
Rfam family: Bacterial small subunit ribosomal RNA
Source: RNAcentral